AAAUAAAGAGGACUUGAAUUUACA
RNAcentral lists this non-coding RNA (24 nucleotides) under Cricetulus griseus (Chinese hamster). The record is from RNAcentral. Lineage: Eukaryota; Metazoa; Chordata; Mammalia; Rodentia; Cricetidae.